GCGGCAGUAGCUCAGUUGGUAGAGCAUCAGCUUCCCAAGCUGAGGGUCACGGGUUCGAGUCCCGCUUGCCGCUCAA
RNAcentral lists this transfer RNA (76 nucleotides) under Bacteroides sp. An322. RNAcentral's name for it is "tRNA-Gly". It matches the Rfam family "tRNA". Rfam says of the family: Transfer RNA (tRNA) molecules are approximately 80 nucleotides in length. Their secondary structure includes four short double-helical elements and three loops (D, anti-codon, and T loops). Further hydrogen bonds mediate the characteristic L-shaped molecular structure. tRNAs have two regions of fundamental functional importance: the anti-codon, which is responsible for specific mRNA codon recognition, and the 3' end, to which the tRNAs corresponding amino acid is attached (by aminoacyl-tRNA synthetases). tRNAs cope with the degeneracy of the genetic code in two manners: having more than one tRNA (with a specific anti-codon) for a particular amino acid; and 'wobble' base-pairing, i.e. permitting non-standard base-pairing at the 3rd anti-codon position. Lineage: Bacteria; Pseudomonadati; Bacteroidota; Bacteroidia; Bacteroidales; Bacteroidaceae. The record is from RNAcentral.